RNAcentral lists this ribosomal RNA (301 nucleotides) under uncultured bacterium. Its description in RNAcentral is "partial 16S ribosomal RNA". It matches the Rfam family "Bacterial small subunit ribosomal RNA", at positions 509 to 809 of the family's 1533-position model. The record is from RNAcentral.
CAGUAGCCGCGGGAAUACGAAGGGUGCAAGCGUUACUCGGAAUUACUAGGCGUAAAGCGUGCGUAGGUGGUGGUUUAAGUCCGUUGUGAAAGCCCUGGGCUCAACCUGGGAAUUGCAGUGGAUACUGGGUCACUAGAGUGUGGUAGAGGAUAGUGGAAUUUCCGGUGUAGCAGUGAAAUGCGUAGAGAUCGGAAGGAACAUCUGUGGCGAAGGCGACUAUCUGGGCCAACACUGACACUGAGGCACGAAAGCGUGGGGAGCAAACAGGAUUAGAUACCCGCGUAGUCCCUGUCUCUUAUAU